Molecule: long non-coding RNA, 3082 nt
Organism: Corapipo altera (White-ruffed manakin)
Lineage: Eukaryota; Metazoa; Chordata; Aves; Passeriformes; Pipridae
Exons: 2
Source: RefSeq, a predicted model, not a curated record
UUUCAUUCCGUUUCUUGGCAACAAAGCAUUUUUAAAUAAUUUUUUUGUCUAAGUAUGUAUUUCAGUGUACAGAGACAAGGUACUGCCUAAAACAGACAGUGAACAGUACCAUAUAGAAGCAAAAGAAAAAGGGAGUGUAAUGUUUGGAUAGCCACCUUUUUCCUUUGGUGCCAGACUUUCCAGACCAUUGCAAAGCCUGCUGUAAGUCUUCCUCAAAGAAACCAUCAGCAAGUGAUGGAGAAGUGACAGUGGAUGCUCAAACACCAGUUGGCUUUACCUACAGAAGUGCAGGCCUGGGAGCUUCAUGUCCUUCAUGGGGACUUGCCAUAGCCAAGGGAAGGGCACAGGAAUCCCAGAGGAUGCUUUAUGCCAAUUCCCAGGAUGCAUUUUCAGGCAUGACCUGGGCUCUUCUUUCAAUAAGGGGUGGCAGUUUUGCUACAGUGACCUCUAGGAACUGAUGAUGCCAAGCCCCAGGACCCUGCAGCACCCUGCUGUGCCCAGCUCCCCUGGUGCUGGGAACACCCCUAAAGGACAACACACCCCAGAGAUCCUGCUGUUCACCCUGAGGUGCACGUGUGCCAGAGGAAGAGCUGCUUUCCUCCCUUCCUUUUCAUGGCCCAGCAAAACAAGUUGCAAGACUGGGACUAGAAGACACCCCUGAGAUCAAAGGGUGAGCAAUGAGCACAGUUCCACCUGACUGCCUUAAAAUAGUUUGGAUCCUACUGUUCACUUCUGCCUGGAAUAGUCCCACUCCUCAUCUGGAAGCUGCUGUGAGUCUGGCUGAGGACAGACACAACCCACACAGAGAGCAAGGGGAACUCAGCCCUGUGCUUUCCCUGGGGGAGCACCCUUGGGAAACUUCUUGGCUGUGUUGUUUUGAAACUGGUAACUGCAAGAAAACCAAUCCCUCUUGUGUUUGCACUAAACAUUUUUAAGUAAUUUUUAAGUUCUCUGUCUAAUGGAAAACCCCUGGGUGUCUACAUCUCCAGUGAGCACCACUCAGCAGAGUUAUCAGAGGCACAUUUCCACUAAAUCUUAGGGGUAUUUUCACUGAAAUUAAAAAAAAAGGGUUUUUUACACUUGCAGAAAGGACUUCAUUUACUGUUUCCACCAAAGGAUACAUAAAACUGAGUAUAGUAAAUCUAUAAUUGUAUUCAAAAGGAACCAUCAUCCAAAUUAUUAAAAUUGCACUUAGAUUUUCUGUAAAUAUGGAAUGAUUUUCAAAUGUAAUCAUCAUUCAACACUCCAAAGAUUGACACAGUUAUAAUUAAUACUUAGAUGGGAAGUAAUUAUAUGGUUCUUACUGCUAUAUAAAUUAUACCAUUACUGAGUCAUAUGCACACGAUGAGGUAAGGUAAGUAUGCAUUUUUUGUUAAGUAGAUGACAGUAAAUAUGUAUUUCACUAAAAUAACAGAAUUCUUUUGCAGUUCAGUAAGAUUUUCAAUAUUCUCAGUGUACUCUACCCAAAAGAACAAAAAUACACCAUUUUGCAUUGCAAAACUGCUGGCAGGCAUUGGCACAAUGUAGGCUAUAUUUCAUAUUUUUAUUUUUUAGCAGAGAGAACAAUUCCUCCAUACAAAGUACUAUUUAAACAGUUUUGUGGUACACAAAGUGUCCUGCAAUAAGAGAAACAAACCCCUUCAUCACCCAUAAGGGGCCAGGGAUGAAAACCAGCCCAGAAAUGCACCAGUCAGUUUUAUUGGCAGGAAACUCAGAAGUGAAGGAAGGCACAGAGGUUUGUUUCUGCAGCACAGGAGCUGCCCUCAGAGCUGUGCCUUCCUGCAGCUCUUGGAAACCUGCCUAGAACACAGAAAGGCCACGGGACCAGCCCAGCUUCCUUCAGGCUCAGGCUGGGGAGGUGCAGGGGGAAAUCUCAUCCACAGAAAUUAGAAGGCAAAUGUAAUUUCUUUUGUCCUCACAGCGAGCUUCUUACAUGCAACAUGACAAAAGAACAUUGCACACAAGCACAGAGGGCUCUUCACACGUGGCAGACAGUGUGUCUGUGCAUGGUGGGGGACCCUUUGAACCUAUUUGGCUUUUAACCUUUUUAACAGGGAUUUCCUGCCCUUCCACUAACUCUCUAUCUGUAGUUCACAAAACAAGGUGAUUUUAAGCAGACCUCUGAUGAAAAUGGGAGAUGGACAUUUUACUUCAUGAUAGCAAUGCAUUAGGAAAGUUAUAGAAAACUGAUCAAAGUCUUUCAUCCUUUGGUAAUAUUGAAGCAUCCCCAGCACUGUGGACUGUCAGUGGCAGCGGUUCUCACACUGUCUGCUCCCUCUGGUGGUGUGAACCACUCCAGAAAGUCUGGGCAUCCUCACAGCACAGAUCACCAAAAUAAUCAGAAUAAUCCCAGCUGCCUGGUCACACGGAUAUGGAGCCACCCAAAACAUACACUGCCAUACUGUGGCAUUUUCUAAGUUAUCACUGAACACAAGGGUUUGUCAUUCAUUGCAAACAAAUAUCUUUGAAAAACAAACUGUGAAUUAAAGGCAGUGAUACCUUACCAUGAUCACCUGCAAGAGUGGCUUAGAAUUCUCUGGUCUUGUUCAUGGUUUUUAACUGAGUGAUGUCCAACAAAGCUGUGAGGGGAAAAAAAGUCUUAUAAAUCCAACCAAAUACCUCUGCAAACAGACAGCACUAGAAAGAGAAGUUUUAGCUCUAAAACACUACAAAGAGAAGUUUGCAGCUCUAGAGCUGCUCCAACAGCUUCCAACACUACUACUGCAACAGUGUUGAUAUUUGUUGUAAUGAUGCAAUAAGAACAUGUUUUAAUUUCUUUAAGAAUAUUUAAGAUCUCAUAUAAAUCUCAGCAAAGUGGGCAGUGUCUCUCCUGAUGCUGCUCUUAAGAAAUUCCUAUUCUGCUGUCAGAUUUUAUCCUAAACUCUUGGAAAAUUCUAAUGCCAGUGCUAAAAACCAGGUUUAACACAGGGCUUUCAUUUCUUACAUUACUAAUAAACUGCUUGGCCAUGCUGUUCCUUGCUAUGUGAUCACAAUACUGUAUUUCUGUAGCCAUCUCUUUUGCUUCUACUUUUAGUACUGAUCUUUACACAGAACUUUUAGUAAAGAACAUCCACUCUUGGUA